UACGUAGGGUGCAAGCGUUAUCCGGAAUCACUGGGCGUAAAGCGUGCGUAGGCGGUGAUUUAAGUGAGAUGUUAAAUCGUGUGGCUCAACCAUAUCGAUGCGUCUCAUACUGGGUUCCUAGAGGAUGGCAGAGGCAAGUGGAAUUGGUAGUGUAGCAGUGAAAUGCGUAGAUAUUACCAGGAACACCAAUGGCGAAGGCAGCUUGCUGGGCCACCCCUGACGCUGAGGUACGAAAGCGUGGGGAGCGAACAGG
RNAcentral lists this ribosomal RNA (253 nucleotides) under uncultured bacterium. RNAcentral describes it as "partial 16S ribosomal RNA". It matches the Rfam family "Bacterial small subunit ribosomal RNA", at positions 524 to 776 of the family's 1533-position model. The record is from RNAcentral.